Molecule: non-coding RNA, 124 nt
Organism: Brassica napus (rape)
Lineage: Eukaryota; Viridiplantae; Streptophyta; Magnoliopsida; Brassicales; Brassicaceae
Source: Rfam
GGAAAAUAAGAUUCCGUUUCUUAACUUUUAACUAAAAAGAUAAAAACCAUCAUUUAAAUAAGAGUUUUAAGAGACGGUUCUUAUCUUUUUUAGUUAAAAGUUAAAAGAUGUGUUCUUAUAUUCC